AGAGUUUGAUCCUGGCUCAGGACGAACGCUGGCGGCGUGCCUAACACAUGCAAGUCGAGCGAUGAAACCUUUCGGGGUGGAUUAGCGGCGGACGGGUGAGUAACACGUGGGUAACCUACCUCAAAGAGGGGGAUAGCCUCCCGAAAGGGAGAUUAAUACCGCAUAACAUUAGUUUUUCGCAUGAAGAACUAAUUAAAGGAGUAAUCCGCUUUGAGAUGGACCCGCGGCGCAUUAGCUAGUUGGUGAGGUAAUAGCUCACCAAGGCGACGAUGCGUAGCCGACCUGAGAGGGUGAUCGGCCACAUUGGAACUGAGAUACGGUCCAGACUCCUACGGGAGGCAGCAGUGGGGAAUAUUGCACAAUGGGCGAAAGCCUGAUGCAGCAACGCCGCGUGAGUGAUGAAAGGCCUUCGGGUUGUAAAAGCUCUGUCUUUGGGGACGAUAAUGACGGACCCAAGGA
Molecule: ribosomal RNA, 459 nt
Filed under: uncultured bacterium
Lineage: Bacteria
Description: bacterial SSU rRNA
Rfam family: Bacterial small subunit ribosomal RNA
Source: RNAcentral